GAUGAACGCUGGCGGCGUGCCUAAUACAUGCAAGUCGAGCGAACGGACGAGAAGCUUGCUUCUCUGAUGUUAGCGGCGGACGGGUGAGUAACACGUGGAUAACCUACCUAUAAGACUGGGAUAACUUCGGGAAACCGGAGCUAAUACCGGAUAAUAUUUUGAACCGCAUGGUUCAAAAGUGAAAGACGGUCUUGCUGUCACUUAUAGAUGGAUCCGCGCUGCAUUAGCUAGUUGGUAAGGUAACGGCUUACCAAGGCAACGAUGCAUAGCCGACCUGAGAGGGUAUCGGCCACACUGGAACUGAGACACGGUCCAGACUCCUACGGGAGGCAGCAGUAGGGAAUCUUCCGCAAUGGGCGAAAGCCUGACGGAGCAACGCCGCGUGAGUGAUGAAGGUCUUCGGAUCGUAAAACUCUGUUAUUAGGGAAGAACAUAUGUGUAAGUAACUGUGCACAUCUUGACGGUACCUAAUCAGAAAGCCACGGCUAACUACGUG
Molecule: ribosomal RNA, 496 nt
Filed under: uncultured bacterium
Lineage: Bacteria
Description: partial 16S ribosomal RNA
Rfam family: Bacterial small subunit ribosomal RNA
Source: RNAcentral